Molecule: ribosomal RNA, 437 nt
Filed under: uncultured bacterium
Lineage: Bacteria
Description: bacterial SSU rRNA
Rfam family: Bacterial small subunit ribosomal RNA
Source: RNAcentral
UCGAGGAUCUUCGGCAAUGGGCGCAAGCCUGACCGAGCGACGCCGCGUGCGCGAUGAAGGCCUUCGGGUUGUAAAGCGCUGUCGAGGGGGAGGAAAGCCGGGCAACCGGCCUGACCUAUCCCUGGAGGAAGCACGGGCUAAGUUCGUGCCAGCAGCCGCGGUAAGACGAACCGUGCGAACGUUGUUCGGAUUCACUGGGCUUAAAGGGCGCGUAGGCGGCUGGCCAAGUCAGGGGUGAAAUCUUUCGGCUCAACCGGAAAACUGCCCCUGAUACUGGCGGGCUGGAGGGGGGUAGGGGCAGACGGAACUUCCGGUGGAGCGGUGAAAUGCGUAGAUAUCGGAAGGAACGCCGGUGGCGAAAGCGGUCUGCUGGACCCCUUCUGACGCUGAGGCGCGAAAGCCAGGGGAGCAAACGGGAUUAGAUACCCCCGUAGUCC